UUUCCCCGUUACGCGCCCUGCCGCGCCGCUGGCGGGCCCUGGCGCCGCCUCGCCGGCCGGGGGCGACCGGGCAGGGUCAGGCAGGGGGCCGGCCGCCACCCCCGCAGCCCCCGGGCCAGUCCCGCCGCCCACUCUCAGAAGGGAGCUGGGGUCCAGGCUAGGAGCCGCCCCCGCCCGCAGCGGGAAGGUGCUGAGACCAAUGCAGAGAUGCUGUUGAGUUUUUCCUCACCUGAGUUUUUGCAAGAAGUCAGCAGAGCCCGACAAGUUCUCCUGGGGAACAGCAGGGGAUUAGGUUGGAAGGGUCCUCAGGAAUCAUCUAGUCCAACCUCUCUAGGAAGGGCACAGUCUAGACAAGAUGGCCCAGCACCCUGUCCAGCCGACUCUUGAAGGUGUCCAACGUGGCCGAGGCAACCACUUCCCUGGGGAGAUUAUUCCAAUGGUGACUGUCCUCACUGUGAAAACUUUCCCUCUCGUGUCCAAUCGGAAUCUCCCCACGAGCAACUUGUGUCCAUUCCCCCUUGUCCUCUCCAUGUGACUCCUUGUGAAAAGGGAGUCUCCAUCUUCUUUGUAGCUACCCCUGAAGUACUGGUACAUGGUGAUGAGAUCCCCUCUGAGCCUCCUCUUCUCAAGGCUGAACAAACCCAGCUCUCCCAGCCUAUCCUCGUAUGGCAGCUUCCCAGUCCUCUGAUCAUCUUGGUGGCCCUUCUCUGGACCCCUUCCAGCCUGUCCACAUCUCUUUUGUAUAGCGGGGACCAGAACUGUACACAGUACUCCAGGUGUGGCCUGACAAGCACUGAGUAGAGUGGGAUGAUGACUUCUUUCUCUCUGCUGGCGAUGCCCUUUUUGAUGCAACCCAGCAUCCUGUUGGCCUCCUUGGAUGCAGCAGCACGCUGUUCGCUCAUGCUGAGCUUUCUGUCCACCAGGACCCCCAGGCCCCUUCUCACAGAGCUGCUCUCCAGCCGGGUGGAUCUCAGUCUGUGCUGCACUCCCAGAUUAUGUUUUCCCAGGUGCAUAACCUUACACCUGUCUUUGUUGAACUUCAUAAGGUUCUUGUUGGCCCACUGUCAUGGUUUUAGCUGGGAUAGAGUUAAUUUUCUUCACUGCAGCUGCCAUAGUGCUGUGCUUUGGACUUAGUAUGAAAAUAACAUUGAUAACACACUGAUGUUUUAGUUGUUGCUGGGUACUAGUUGCUUGUACUAGUCAAGGACUUUUCCAGCUUCCCAUGUUCUGCUGGGUGCACAAGAAGCCAGGAGGGGAGGGGGCACAGCUAAGAAAGUGGAUCCAAACUGGCCAAAGGGAUAUUCCAUAUCAUGUAACGUCAUGCCCAGUAUGUUAACUGGGAAGAGCUGGCUGGGGGAGGGAGACAGCAAUUGCGGCUUGGGGAUGAGCAGUGUUGGUCGGCAGGUGGUGAGCGAUUGUAUAGUUUGUGUUUCUGUUUUUUUCCCUUUUUCCCUUUUCCUUUUUAUUAUAUUAUAAUUAUUGUUAUUAUUAUCAUAAUCAUUAUUACUAUAAUUAUUAUUUUAUUGCAUUUAUUAAACUUCUUAUCUCAA
Non-coding RNA from Phalacrocorax carbo (great cormorant), 1550 nucleotides. The record is from RefSeq and is a predicted model, not a curated record. NCBI's taxonomy places the organism in Eukaryota, Metazoa, Chordata, Aves, Suliformes, Phalacrocoracidae.